RNAcentral lists this ribosomal RNA (802 nucleotides) under uncultured bacterium. Its description in RNAcentral is "bacterial SSU rRNA". It matches the Rfam family "Bacterial small subunit ribosomal RNA", at positions 51 to 850 of the family's 1533-position model. The record is from RNAcentral.
ACACAUGCAAGUCGAACGGAGUUAUUUUGGCAGAAGCCUUCGGGUGGACGCUGAUAUAACUUAGUGGCGAACGGGUGAGUAACACGUGAGCAACCUGCCCUUCAGAGGGGGACAACAGUUGGAAACGACUGCUAAUACCGCAUAAGACCACGGUGUGGCAUCACACAGAGGUCAAAGGAGAAAUCCGCUGAAGGAUGGGCUCGCGUCCAAUUAGCUAGAUGGUGAGGUAACGGCCCACCAUGGCGACGAUUGGUAGCCGGACUGAGAGGUUGAUCGGCCACAUUGGGACUGAGACACGGCCCAGACUCCUACGGGAGGCAGCAGUGGGGAAUAUUGCACAAUGGAGGAAACUCUGAUGCAGCGACGCCGCGUGAGGGAAGAAGGUCUUCGGAUUGUAAACCUCUGUUGUCAGGGACGAUAAUGACGGUACCUGACGAGGAAGCCACGGCUAACUACGUGCCAGCAGCCGCGGUAAAACGUAGGUGGCAAGCGUUGUCCGGAAUUACUGGGUGUAAAGGGAGCGCAGGCGGGAGAGCAAGUUGGAAGUGAAAUCUGUGGGCUCAACUCACAAAUUGCUUUCAAAACUGUUUUUCUUGAGUGGUGUAGAGGUAGGCGGAAUUCCCGGUGUAGCGGUGGAAUGCGUAGAUAUCGGGAGGAACACCAGUGGCGAAGGCGGCCUACUGGGCACUAACUGACGCUGAGGCUCGAAGGCAUGGGUAGCAAACAGGAUUAGAUACCCUGGUAGUCCAUGCCGUAAACGAUGAUUACUAGGUGUGGGAGGAUUGACCCCUUCCGUGCCGCA